UUACUUGUUGGUUCCGACGGAAGUUUUCACCUAAAACCCACCAUUGUAGCUUCCUUGAAACUUCUAUAGGCUUACUCCAUGUUAGGUAAGCAUUACCCCACCUAAGGUAAGCCUUCAGAAGCUUCACAACUUCAUUUUUAUGCAUCUUCAGAUAUUUAGGAUUUUUCUAAUGUGUUUUGCAUGAUCCCUUUAUGCUUUCCCAU
RNAcentral lists this long non-coding RNA (203 nucleotides) under Ricinus communis (castor bean). RNAcentral describes it as "long non-coding RNA (RCOM_LNC002799)". Lineage: Eukaryota; Viridiplantae; Streptophyta; Magnoliopsida; Malpighiales; Euphorbiaceae. The record is from RNAcentral.